This 253-nucleotide ribosomal RNA is filed under the name uncultured bacterium. RNAcentral describes it as "partial 16S ribosomal RNA". It matches the Rfam family "Bacterial small subunit ribosomal RNA", at positions 524 to 776 of the family's 1533-position model. The record is from RNAcentral.
UACGUACCGUCCAAACGUUAUUCGGAUUUACUGGGCUUAAAGGGUGCGUAGGCGGCUCAGAAAGUAGGGUGUGAAAGCCCUCGGCUCAACCGAGGAAUUGCGCCCUAAACUACUGGGCUUGAGGAACGCAGAGGUAAGCGGAACUUAGGGUGGAGCGGUGAAAUGCGUUGAUAUCCUAAGGAACACCAGGAGCGAAAGCGGCUUACUGGGCGUUUUCUGACGCUGAGGCACGAAAGCUAGGGGAGCGAACGGG